This 497-nucleotide ribosomal RNA is filed under the name uncultured bacterium. RNAcentral's name for it is "partial 16S ribosomal RNA". It matches the Rfam family "Bacterial small subunit ribosomal RNA", at positions 28 to 507 of the family's 1533-position model. The record is from RNAcentral.
GAUGAACGCUGGCGGCGUGCCUAAUGCAUGCAAGUCGAGCGAACGGACGAGAAGCUUGCUUCUCUGAUGUUAGCGGCGGACGGGUGAGUAACACGUGGAUAACCUACCUAUAAGACUGGGAUAACUUCGGGAAACCGGAGCUAAUACCGGAUGAUAUUUUGAACCGCAUGGUUCAAAAGUGAAAGACGGUCUUGCUGUCACUUAUAGAUGGAUUCGCGCUGCAUUAGCUAGUUGGUAAGGUAACGGCUUACCAAGGCAACGAUGCAUAGCCGACCUGAGAGGGUGAUCGGCCACACUGGAACUGAGACACGGUCCAGACUCCUACGGGAGGCAGCAGUAGGGAAUCUUCCGCAAUGGGCGAAAGCCUGACGGAGCAACGCCGCGUGAGUGAUGAAGGUCUUCGGAUCGUAAAACUCUGUUAUUAGGGAAGAACAUAUGUGUAAGUAACUGUGCACAUCUUGACGGUACCUAAUCAGAAAGCCACGGCUAACUACGUG